This 25-nucleotide non-coding RNA is filed under the name Chrysemys picta bellii (western painted turtle). Lineage: Eukaryota; Metazoa; Chordata; Testudines; Emydidae. RNAcentral also lists the same sequence under 7 other names. The record is from RNAcentral.
UACUGCCCUAAAUGCUCCUUCUGGC